CAUAAAUGUAAAUGUAACAGAUUAGGUUGAAAGAUAUUUCCAUAAAUUAUUUAAAUAAAAGAGUGCUACUCUUAUUAGUUGUUCUUAAAAUUAUUACAGUUUAAAAACCACUCACCCUGUACAAUACAUUACACUUUUCACUGAGUUUCAUCACUGCACUAACUUCAUCUUUCCACAAUUACUUUCGUAAUUGUUGUUAGAUAAAGCACAUUUUCAAACAAAAACAAAAACGCUUUACCAAUUUCCAAGCCAUAGUUGUCAAGCAAACAGAAGGCUGCACUUUCUGCUUUCAUUUCAGUGAGCUUAACUUUUGUGCAUAUGUGGUAUGAGUAUUUUACGUAUUUAAACAUUAUUAUUGUUGUAGAAGUGAACGUACGAGAGUGUUGCAAUUGUUCCUGUUUCACCUAACCUCUUUUAGGCUAUGUCUGAUAUUCUUUGAACACACACAGACAAAGCCUAGUAGAGGCUAGAUUCAGUCCAAGAAUUUUCUUCUUCAAAUACUUGUACAACGAACGGAAGUGUUAAAAUAAUAACCGUGGCUGUAGGUUAAUCUGAAACAUCUUAUAAAAAAAAUACUUACAUGACUAUGUAUGUGUGUACAUAUGUACAUACAAAUACUUCUCUGCAUAUUUGCAUCAGCGCGCUGACUUAUCAAAUCAAGCGUUACGCGGUCACGCACUUUAAACGUUGCAACAACAAAAAUUGGCACACACGCGCAAAAAGCAGUAGCGAUCAACGGCCUAGAAAUAAAUAUAAGCAACAACAAAAAAACAAUUCCGCAAAUGAAGAAAGUAGAAAGUGUAUGAGGUGUACUCGAAACCAAGCAAAAAAGCAGAAAAAAUAUACAAAAAUAAAUAAAAAAGUGAAAAUAAUCGGCAAUAAGUUAAUUGAGCAACGCUUGAGCGCGCAAAACGAAAUAAAUCGACUUUUCGUUGAAAGGUGUUUAAAGGAAAGAAACACUAAAUCGGUUAAAAAAGCAAAAGUGAAGUUUUUAGCAGUAUGUAUAUAUAAAGCAAAAAUCAGGUCGAGCAACGCCCACUGCAAGUCGGUCAGCGCGCAAAAUAACAACAAACAACAAAGAUAUAUCGAUGUGUGUGUGUGUGUGCUUGCAGUGGUGUGCAAAAAUCAAACGGCAGCUGUGUUAGCGCCGAUAUUCCCCCUCACUGAGUAUACGGCACGCCACACCACGUCGCCCCGCUGCACCGUCCGCCCGCUCUUUUCAACUCUCUGUGCGCAAUGUGCUUUUCUUGCACGCGAAGCACUUUCACUUUCCAACAACAAGUAGCGGUGCAAUGCGAAUGCACACGUACUACAAUUCGCGGCAAUAAUAAAAUAAGAAAACAGUAACAACAACGACGUCAUGAAAUGGCAACACUUCAAUGUUGGCUCGUGCGCCAAGCGGCGGCACAGUGAUGCGCCUCUGCUGAAAUUGCGUGCAAAACUUUUAAAUAUUGGACAUAAAUUUAAAAAAAUUAUAAUAAAAAUUCGACUGGCGGUCCGAAAAUAUUAAAUGUUCAUUAAAGUAAUCAUUUUUUAAUAUUAAUUGAUGAAUUACAGUUUUGACAUAUUUGUAAUAGUGUCGCAACAGGCAUAAUGUUAUAUUUGUCUAAGAAAUAUAAUAUUAUUAUAAAUUUUUUAAAUCAUAUCAAAUUUGAGAAAAGUGUUUUGAAAUAUUAAAAAAAAAAUAGUUAAAACUUAAUUUUAUUGUUAGUAUUAAUUUUGUAUAUUAAAAAAAUAAACAUUUAAUUAUAUUUAAUUUUACAAUUUAGUAGAAAAAAAUUCCGUGCUACCUUGCACGGGGUAUAUUAAAUAUAUAUAUAAAUGAGCAACGUGACGAGCUGAGUCGACCAUUCCAUGUCCCUCUGUCUGCCUGUACAUUCGCGAACUAGGCCCUCAGUCUUUGAGAUAGCGUUCUGAAAUUUUGCACUUGCCAUUUAAAUCCCAAGAAAUCGUUCAUUUGUUAGGACCGCGGAUAUCGAAUCGCUUUAGCAUACAGCUGCCAUACAAAUUGAACGAUCAAAAUCAAGUUCUUGUAUAGAAAAUUUGUCAAAAAUUUUAGAAAAAAAUUUUAAAUCGGACGACAGCGUAUAGCUGCCAUACAAACUGCACAAACGAAAUCAUGGUUUCGUAUGGAAACGUUUUUAUUUGUAAAGCACAUUUUAGCUUCGGUGCAACGGAAUGUAAUUUUUUUUCUGGUUUGUUUACUUUAAUUCACAAAAAACGCUACUUAACACCACAGUACGCAGCGAAAUUGCUCGGCACGUAGUAGUGCAUGUGCGACGGUACUUUUGUACCGACGGCCAAGUGGACCACACCAAUUAACAUCCACAUCAGUCAAAAACAAAAUAUAUACUAUAAAAUAGCAACAAAACUAAAAGCUAAUUAAACAACAACAACUAGCUGUAGCAGCAAGUUAACAGCUGUCAAAUGUGUUUUCAUCUUUGCAUACCGAGAAGAAAGCCAAAUUGUGACAGAAAUGAUUGUUGUUGGAGCAAAUGUCGGGCUGACGCGAUCAUGACGAAUGGACGGGUGGCUGGAUGCGGUUGGAGGUACAUGUAUAUUUAUUAUAUAUGUAAAUUUAUAUGUACAGAAAAUAGCCAUAGGAGCAUUUUUGUAAUGGAAAAAUAUACAAAAUUAUGACUUUGUAGAUUAUAUACAUAUUUAUGUACCUAGCGAAGUGUGCAGUAUAUAUGUAAAUUGAAAUCAAAAUAAACGUAGCAAUAAUAAACAAUUUGUAA
Non-coding RNA from Bactrocera oleae (olive fruit fly), 2738 nucleotides. Lineage: Eukaryota; Metazoa; Arthropoda; Insecta; Diptera; Tephritidae. The record is from RefSeq and is a predicted model, not a curated record.